Molecule: ribosomal RNA, 460 nt
Filed under: uncultured bacterium
Lineage: Bacteria
Description: partial 16S ribosomal RNA
Rfam family: Bacterial small subunit ribosomal RNA
Source: RNAcentral
CCUACGGGUGGCAGCAGUGAGGAAUAUUGGUCAAUGGGCGCGAGCCUGAACCAGCCAUGCCGCGUGAAGGAAGACUGCCCUACGGGUUGUAAACUUCUUUUAUAAGGGACUAAAGUGAGGCACGUGUACCUGUUUGUAUGUACUUUAUGAAUAAGGAUCGGCUAACUCCGUGCCAGCAGCCGCGGUAAUCCGGAGGAUCCUAGCGUUAUCCGGAUUUAUUGGGUUUAAGGGGAGCGUAGAUGGGUUGUUAAGUCAGGUGUGAAAGUUUGGGGCUCAACCGUGAAAUUGCAAUUGAUACUGGCAGUCUUGAGUACAGUUGAGGUAGGCGGAAUUCGUGGUGUAGCGGUGAAAUGCUUAGAUAUCACGAAGAACACCGAUUGCGAAGGCAGCUUACGAAACUGCCACUGACGUUGAGGCACGAAAGCGUGGGGAGCAAACAGGAUUAGAUACCCCAGUAGUC